AACGCGAAGAACCUUACCUACCCUUGACAUGCCACGAAUCUGGGUUAAGCGCCCGGAGUGCCGAAAGGAACGUGGACACAGGUGCUGCAUGGCUGUCGUCAGCUCGUGUCGUGAGAUGUUGGGUUAAGUCCCGUAACGAGCGCAACCCCUGUGCUUUGUUGCCAUGCCGCAAGGCGGCACUCAAAGCAGACUGCCCGUGACAAGCGGGAGGAAGGUGGGGAUGACGUCAAGUCAUCAUGGCCUUUAUGGGUAGGGCUACACACGUGCUACAAUGGGACGAACAGAGGGAAGCGAACUCGUGAGAGGGAGCGAAUCCAUCAAAUCGUCUCGUAGUCCGGAUCGGAGUCUGCAACUCGACUCCGUGAAGUUGGAAUCGCUAGUAAUCGCCGAUCAGCAUGCGGCGGUGAAUACGUUCCCGGGCCUUGUACACACCGGAGUA
This 439-nucleotide ribosomal RNA is filed under the name uncultured bacterium. RNAcentral's name for it is "bacterial SSU rRNA". It matches the Rfam family "Bacterial small subunit ribosomal RNA", at positions 958 to 1398 of the family's 1533-position model. The record is from RNAcentral.